CCUACGGGUGGCAGCAGUGAGGAAUUUUGGUCAAUGGGCUUACGCCUGAACCAGCCAAGUCGCGUGAGGGAAGACUGCCCUAUGGGUUGUAAACCUCUUUUGUCAGGGAGCAACGCCGGCUACGUGUAGCCGGACUGAGAGUACCUGAAGAAAAAGCAUCGGCUAACUCCGUGCCAGCAGCCGCGGUAAUACGGAGGAUGCGAGCGUUAUCCGGAUUUAUUGGGUUUAAAGGGUGCGUAGGCGGAAUGCCAAGUCAGCGGUAAAAUCGCGGGGCUCAACCUCGCUCCGCCGUUGAAACUGGCGUUCUUGAGUGGGCGAGAGGUAUGCGGAAUGCGUGGUGUAGCGGUGAAAUGCAUAGAUAUCUGGAGGAACAUCAGUGGCGAAGGCGACUAUCUGGCGCAUAACUGACGCUGAGGAGCGAAAGCGUGGGUAGCGAACAGGAUUAGAUACCCGUGUAGUC
RNAcentral lists this ribosomal RNA (460 nucleotides) under uncultured bacterium. RNAcentral describes it as "partial 16S ribosomal RNA". It matches the Rfam family "Bacterial small subunit ribosomal RNA", at positions 338 to 795 of the family's 1533-position model. The record is from RNAcentral.